GGAUUGAAAUGGGAGCACCCUGAUCCAGCCAUGCCGCGUGAGUGAAGAAGGCCUUCGGGUUGUAAAGCUCUUUCGGUGGGAACGAAACGGGUGCGGAUAAUACCUGCGCCUACUGACGGUACUCACAGAAGAAGCACCGGCUAACUACGUGCCAGCAGCCGCGGUAAUACGUAGGGUGCGAGCGUUAAUCGGAAUUACUGGGCGUAAAGCGUGCGUAGGCGGUUUCAUAAGCUCGAUGUGAAAGCCCCGGGCUCAACCUGGGAAUGGCAUUGAGGACUGUGGAGCUGGAGUGCGGCAGAGGGAGGUGGAAUUCCACGUGUAGCAGUGAAAUGCGUAGAGAUGUGGAGGAACACCGAUGGCGAAGGCAGCCUCCUGGGCCGACACUGACGCUGAUGCACGAAAGCGUGGGGAGCAAACAGGAUUAGAUACCCUGGUAGUCCACGCCCUAAACGAUGUCAACUGGUUGUUGGGGAAGGCAACUUCCUUAGUAACGAAGCUAACGCGUGAAGUUGACCGCCUGGGGAGUACGGCCGCAAGGUUAAAACUCAAAAAAAUUGACGGA
RNAcentral lists this ribosomal RNA (562 nucleotides) under uncultured bacterium. Its description in RNAcentral is "bacterial SSU rRNA". It matches the Rfam family "Bacterial small subunit ribosomal RNA", at positions 359 to 917 of the family's 1533-position model. The record is from RNAcentral.